UACGUAGGGUGCAAGCGUUAAUCGGAAUUACUGGGCGUAAAGCGUGCGCAGGCGGUUUUGUAAGUUUGUCGUGAAAUCCCCGGGCUCAACCUGGGAAUUGCGAUGAAGACUGCAAGGCUGGAAUCUGGCAGAGGGGGGUAGAAUACCACGUGUAGCAGUGAAAUGCGUAGAGAUGUGGAGGAACACCGAUGGCGAAGGCAGCCCCCUGGGUCAAGAUUGACGCUCAUGCACGAAAGCGUGGGGAGCAAACAGG
RNAcentral lists this ribosomal RNA (253 nucleotides) under uncultured bacterium. RNAcentral describes it as "partial 16S ribosomal RNA". It matches the Rfam family "Bacterial small subunit ribosomal RNA", at positions 524 to 776 of the family's 1533-position model. The record is from RNAcentral.